RNAcentral lists this transfer RNA (72 nucleotides) under Camelus ferus (Wild Bactrian camel). It matches the Rfam family "tRNA". From Rfam's summary of the family: Transfer RNA (tRNA) molecules are approximately 80 nucleotides in length. Their secondary structure includes four short double-helical elements and three loops (D, anti-codon, and T loops). Lineage: Eukaryota; Metazoa; Chordata; Mammalia; Artiodactyla; Camelidae. The record is from Rfam by way of RNAcentral.
GAGGGUAUAGCUCGGUGGUAGAGUGCAUGCCUAGCAUGCAUGAGGUCCUGGGUUCAAUUCCUAGUACUUCCA